Molecule: unclassified non-coding RNA, 326 nt
Filed under: fungal sp.
Lineage: Eukaryota; Fungi
Description: partial internal transcribed spacer region
Rfam family: Eukaryotic small subunit ribosomal RNA (bases 1-46)
Source: RNAcentral
AAGUCGUAACAAGGUUUCCGUAGGUGAACCUGCGGAAGGAUCAUUAACACGUAUCCAACGUUAAACAACCCUGUGAACUUUCAGACGCUCUUGUAGCCCAGGAGGAACAGCAAUCCCGGUAAAUCAAUGGCGGAAAGUUUUUGAUUCGGGACCUCUGUCCAAAAGGAGUAAGGAUAACGCAUCACGGUUGCCAGAGGUCGAUCACCGGCCGGCAGACAUGUCACAGGGCUUUAUGCCCCUUCAUUCACCCCUUGCCUAAUCAAGCCCCGCGGAAACGCCGGGCAAAAAAAUCUGAACAACUGUUAACAAUGGAUAUCUUGGUUCUC